CUCCAAUUUUACCAAGUCAACUCGCUAAUAUGUUGGAAGCCCUAGUUUUACUGCAUCCCUCCAACAACUACCCACCUGUUGCAUCGAAUUUCUGCAAGUUGAAGAUUUCAGUACAUGAUAUAAAUUUGAGUCAUAACAUUAAUUUUCUGUUGCCGUUGAGCCCUUUUGUAGCGAAAGGAAAUGGUUUUAUAGGAUCGAUAGUUAGCGUGCAAGUGAAUAUGGGCCUGGAGUGGAAAUGAAACGUUCUUUGUCCGUGAGCGUCAAUUUGAUUGGAGGUGAGUCGUUUAAGAAAAAAAAUUGUAAAAAUAUUAUUUGGUUGUUUCAAGAAAUUUGAUGAAGAAAACACAAUUUUGAUGGUAAUUAGUUUUCUAUAGCAUCUGGGGAUUGUAAAAUGGGGGAUUGUAUCUGGAAAUAAAUAUUUGAACUUGAGUUACUAAAGUAAGGAAACGGUAACCAAUGGAGGAGAGUGGGGAACACUGGUGUUGGAUAAUUCAGGUUUCAUUGAGAAGGAAAUGUGAUCAAGGAAUAAUGAUGAGAAACUGAUGAUGAGUUGAUAGAAGAAGCAUCCCGCGGCUUAUUUGAGGAAGAAUGGAUUGCCGGAGGAUUUCGAGAAAGAAACUGAGACUCGUGUAGUAAAUGUAUCAUCUCUGGGAUUUCCACUCAGAUGAGUUGGUCGAGUUGAAAAUAAAGCCCGGUUCACGAGCUAAUUGGGUGGACAAGGGCUCAAUGAUUAUUUUGUUGUUUGAAACCACAUACUUGCAAAGUGUCGAGACAGUGUGCAUGAUGGAUUUCCAAAGGGUAGAGAAAGAAAACCGUGGGUAACGAAUGUGGACAAUUGAUGACGAGGGAUAAUAAAUGUUAUGGAAGUAUCAGCAAUGAUUGUUGGUGCAGGAAAUGCCAAGUUGAACGCAGUGAGAUGGCUGACGUUUUCACUUUUCUGGUCCCUAAGUAUGAUAUUUGAAGGUAACUGAUAUGUGGGAGGAGUUUAUACUCGGAAAGAUGUGUCGAUAAGGUAACUACACAGCUACUGAUCUUGGUGGCAGUGUUAUAACUGGUAUUAAUGCUCAUCCUUCAGGAGGCUGACAAACAGAAAUUAUGGUGAAGCUUUGCAUUUUUUCGAGACAACUUAUAAUUCCUCUUGGCAUGGUGAACAAUUAAUGGCUUCUGUACAAGCUGUAUUGAACACAUGUUAACGGACUUGAUUCUAUGGUUGAGUUCUCUAAAGUCAUCAUUUCUAAGAAAUAAUGGGUCAAUUUGCUAGUGAUACUACUUUACGUUCUGUUUUAGAGAUAGUUCCGCAAUUAUAUGUUGCGGCUAGUUGUAGUGAGGAAAGAACUUUUUUGAUUUGUAUUUUGCUAACUCGGAGCACACCAAGUACUUUUGUGUCUAAGGAACUAAGUCCCUCUUCUGUCUGUAAUCAAUUUAUUAUCAGUGUAUGAGUAGUAGUGAGGGCCAACCCCUCACCUAGGCAUGGAUGAUUUUAUCAAGAAACUUGGGAUAUGCCAAAUCUAGAAGCGUUUCAACCCUGUCUGCUGUUGAUGGGGUCAUGGGGAUCAGUAAGAUCCUUAUAGAUUGGGAAUGAAAUUGUUGUUCUCUCACAGGUGGGACCUGGAGAUUAAUUAGAGUAAUUCUUAAAGCACUUGAUUUGUCUGUACGACUACCAUUUAGACCAUAAGCUAUUGAAGUGAAGGAAUCCAGGUUGUUUCAGGAAACCAAGAUUUUCAAGCAGAUAUUAUCCUGUGCUGCACUCCCAUUUUAUUCCUUAAACUAUGAGAAAUUAGAUUUGAAAGAUUUAUCUAAAAGAAUGCAGCAUUAGAAAGACUGCUGUUUUGGUUGCUAAGUGAAAGUCCCCGUGAAGUUCCCUCAUAAUUUUCAAGGGGAAAGGCUUGUAUACAUUUGGACUUUUCGACUGCACCUUGUUUCGAGCAUUCUAGAAGGUGUACAUAGUUGGAUGGGCAUCAAGUGUCUAAUUCUUUACAAGCCAUGUGUACUAGAUGGGGAAACGAUCCUCUUUCUUGUGGUUCAUAUUCACAUAUCAGAGUGCUAUUAUUUGGUAACAGUUUCAGAACCCAAAUUGGUAGAAGCAGCACUUGCUCAUCUCUCUGCUCCAGGUCAGGGAAUUUUUCGUAGCUAGACUCCUUGAGAAAUGACACGAAGAUUUUCGAGGGUUCGGUCCUUUGUUUGCAAAUGGUUGGGGAAUCCAUAAAGGUGGCCAUUUAUUAUUAUUAUCAUCAUCGUCGUCGUCGUCAUCUUAUUCAAUAACUAUUUUUAGCGUCAUUAUAUAUAUAUUUUUAUUGUUACUGGGGAAGCUAGCUUAUUGCUGAAAUCAUGGUAGCUAGAGGGAUAUAAGGUGCAACUACUUUUCUAUGUCCAUUAAACUUUGCAUCUACGCGUGGUUAAUCUGUUGAACAUAAUUGUACUUUUUCAUGAUUGCUGAUUCUUAAAGUUGCCAUCAUAGUUUUCUAAUUCCUGUA
Olea europaea var. sylvestris is the source of this 2474-nucleotide long non-coding RNA. RefSeq lists it as uncharacterized. The transcript is spliced from 3 exons. Lineage: Eukaryota; Viridiplantae; Streptophyta; Magnoliopsida; Lamiales; Oleaceae. The record is from RefSeq and is a predicted model, not a curated record.